AUUACAUCCUUUAGUCAAUGGCUGUAGCUAACUUUACAGCUAAAGAAUCAACAUACAUGGGCAGUGACGAAUGUUACUGUCUAUAUUCUCGGGUGGAAUUUUCCAUGUUCAGAGUGUGAACUACUGUUUGAUUCUGUUAAAAGUAAAAAAGUGAGAACCAGUUAAGAAGUUUGAUGUUACUUAGCAGGAAAAAUGUAAUAAAACUUACAGCGGUGUUCUUGUUUAUUGAAAAGCUCAGAUCUGUGUGCCCUGGCAACUGGCUGGCCAAAAGACUUCAGCAGAAGUGAGAGUAUGUCAACUUCAUCCUACAACUUUGGGAGGCCUUGCACUCUUCCCACACUCUCUAGAAUUCUUGCUACCUUAAAGUGAACAAGGCUAUCUUGAGAAGAGGAUGUGAAUUAAAAUACUCAAGAAAAGUCUAGCUCUCCUAGCUGAGGGUGUUUGACAUUAAUCUGCAGGUGGGCAGGCAUGUGAAAGUUGAAGAGCAGAGCUACCUGAAUGACUCAAAGAUAACCAGACCUCAACUCUACAUAAAGAACUAAAGGCAACUAAGGAAUGCUGAGACGGGGAGAAAUAGACUUCUUCAGGGCAGAUCACACCAACUGGUUAUCUAACCAAAUAGACAACCCUGAAAACAUACACACAAGGAACAUGAUACAGAUUGAG
Long non-coding RNA from Peromyscus eremicus (cactus mouse), 666 nucleotides. RefSeq lists it as uncharacterized. Lineage: Eukaryota; Metazoa; Chordata; Mammalia; Rodentia; Cricetidae. The record is from RefSeq and is a predicted model, not a curated record. The transcript is spliced from 4 exons.